Molecule: ribosomal RNA, 44 nt
Organism: Labrus bergylta (ballan wrasse)
Lineage: Eukaryota; Metazoa; Chordata; Actinopteri; Labriformes; Labridae
Source: Ensembl
GCCUGGUUAGUACUUGGAUGGGAGACCGCCUGGGAAUACCAGGU